Molecule: ribosomal RNA, 252 nt
Filed under: uncultured bacterium
Lineage: Bacteria
Description: partial 16S ribosomal RNA
Rfam family: Bacterial small subunit ribosomal RNA
Source: RNAcentral
UACGUAGGGGGCGAGCGUUGUCCGGAUUUAUUGGGCGUAAAGAGCGUGUAGGCGGCUUGGUAGGUCUCGCGUCAAAACCUGCGGCUCAACCGCAGUUCGCGUGGGAAACCACCUAGCUAGAGUCCGGAAGUGGAGAACGGAAUUCCCAGUGUAGCGGUGAAAUGCGCAGAUAUUGGGAAGAACACCAGUGGCGAAGGCGGUUCUCUGGGACGGUACUGACGCUGAGACGCGAAAGCGUGGGGAGCGAACAGG